AUUGUACGUUGGCGGCAGGCCUAACACAUGCAAGUCGAGCGGAUGAAGGGAGCUUGCUCCUGGAUUCAGCGGCGGACGGGUGAGUAAUGCCUAGGAAUCUGCCUGGUAGUGGGGGAUAACGUCCGGAAACGGGCGCUAAUACCGCAUACGUCCUGAGGGAGAAAGUGGGGGAUCUUCGGACCUCACGCUAUCAGAUGAGCCUAGGUCGGAUUAGCUAGUUGGUGGGGUAAAGGCCUACCAAGGCGACGAUCCGUAACUGGUCUGAGAGGAUGAUCAGUCACACUGGAACUGAGACACGGUCCAGACUCCUACGGGAGGCAGCAGUGGGGAAUAUUGGACAAUGGGCGAAAGCCUGAUCCAGCCAUGCCGCGUGUGUGAAGAAGGUCUUCGGAUUGUAAAGCACUUUAAGUUGGGAGGAAGGGCAGUAAGUUAAUACCUUGCUGUUUUGACGUUACCAACAGAAUAAGCACCGGCUAACUUCGUG
RNAcentral lists this ribosomal RNA (484 nucleotides) under uncultured bacterium. RNAcentral's name for it is "partial 16S ribosomal RNA". It matches the Rfam family "Bacterial small subunit ribosomal RNA", at positions 30 to 507 of the family's 1533-position model. The record is from RNAcentral.